GGCAGUGUAGUACAAUGGGUAAGGCGCUGGUCUUGUAACCUAAAGGUCACUGGUUCGAUUCCCAGGUAGGCACACUGCCG
Molecule: transfer RNA, 80 nt
Filed under: Anguilla anguilla (European eel)
Lineage: Eukaryota; Metazoa; Chordata; Actinopteri; Anguilliformes; Anguillidae
Description: tRNA-OTHER
Source: RNAcentral